This is a long non-coding RNA of Myotis davidii, 187 nucleotides long. RefSeq lists it as uncharacterized. The record is from RefSeq and is a predicted model, not a curated record. The transcript is spliced from 2 exons. NCBI's taxonomy places the organism in Eukaryota, Metazoa, Chordata, Mammalia, Chiroptera, Vespertilionidae.
AUGCAGGCGACGGCGCACCUGCUCAAUCUGCUGCUGCUGUCGCUGCUGGCCGGACUCGGUCCUUCCCAGCUUCUAGAAUACAUACUGCCCCUCAGUGUGCAAAGAGGAGAAGGCGGCCACUUGUUCUAUGCCACGUAGGACAUUAGAGAGAAUAUCCACAUGUCCAUAAACGGUUCUGGACAGGGGG